UUCCCUUCUUAUUUUGUCUGACUGUAGGCUAAUUUAUGAAAAAGUGUAAGAAAUAAAUCUUCUUUUGCAACCCCAAAUUCAUUGUUCAGUAUGAGUUUUAAUACAUAUAAGAAAGAAUAUU
This 121-nucleotide small nucleolar RNA is filed under the name Octodon degus (degu). RNAcentral describes it as "Small nucleolar RNA SNORA40 (ENSODEG00000022453.1)". It matches the Rfam family "Small nucleolar RNA SNORA40". Rfam says of the family: The snoRNA ACA 40 belongs to the H/ACA family of snoRNAs and guides the pseudouridylation of 28S rRNA subunit at position U4565. NB This family has a high threshold value to exclude a large number of closely related sequences that do not appear to have conserved H and ACA boxes, and may be pseudogenes. Lineage: Eukaryota; Metazoa; Chordata; Mammalia; Rodentia; Octodontidae. The record is from Rfam by way of RNAcentral.